GACGAACGCUGGCGGCGUGCUUAACACAUGCAAGUCGAACGGAAAGGCCCUGCUUUUGUGGGGUGCUCGAGUGGCGAACGGGUGAGUAACACGUGAGUAACCUGCCCUUGACUUUGGGAUAACUUCAGGAAACUGGGGCUAAUACCGGAUAGGAGCUCUUGCUGCAUGGUGGGGGAUGGAAAGAUUCGGCGGUUGGGGAUGGACUCGCGGCUUAUCAGCCUGUUGGUGGGGUAGUGGCAUACCAAGGUUUUGACGGGUAGCCGGCCUGGGAGGGUGACCGGCCACAUUAGGACUGAGAUACGGCCCAGACUCGUACGGGAGGCAGCAGUGGAGAAUAUUGCACAAUAGGCGGAAGCCUGAUGCAGCAACGCCGCGUGCGGGAUGACGGCCUUCGGGUUGUAAACCAAUUUCGCCUGUGACGAAGCGUGAGUGACGGUAAUGGGUAAAGAAGCCCCGGCUAACUACGUG
This 468-nucleotide ribosomal RNA is filed under the name uncultured bacterium. RNAcentral's name for it is "partial 16S ribosomal RNA". It matches the Rfam family "Bacterial small subunit ribosomal RNA", at positions 28 to 507 of the family's 1533-position model. The record is from RNAcentral.